GACGAACGCUGGCGGCGUGCUUAACACAUGCAAGUCGAACGGAAAGGCCCUGCUUUUGUGGGGUGCUCGAGUGGCGAACGGGUGAGUAACACGUGAGUAACCUGCCCUUGACUUUGGGAUAACUUCAGGAAACUGGGGCUAAUACCGGAUAGGAGCUCCUGCUGCAUGGUGGGGGUUGGAAAGUUUCGGCGGUUGGGGAUGGACUCGCGGCCUAUCAGCUUGUUGGUGGGGUAGUGGCUUACCAAGGCUUUGACGGGUAGCCGGCCUGAGAGGGUGACCGGCCACAUUGGGACUGAGAUACGGCCCAGGCUCCUACGGGAGGCAGCAGUGGGGAAUAUUGCACAAUGGGCGGAAGCCUGAUGCAGCAACGCCGCGUGCGGGAUGACGGCCUUCGGGUUGUAAACCGCUUUCGCCUGUGACGAAGCGUGAGUGACGGUAAUGGGUAAAGAAGCACCGGCUAACUACGUG
This 468-nucleotide ribosomal RNA is filed under the name uncultured bacterium. RNAcentral's name for it is "partial 16S ribosomal RNA". It matches the Rfam family "Bacterial small subunit ribosomal RNA", at positions 28 to 507 of the family's 1533-position model. The record is from RNAcentral.